Molecule: transfer RNA, 73 nt
Filed under: Phakopsora pachyrhizi
Lineage: Eukaryota; Fungi; Basidiomycota; Pucciniomycetes; Pucciniales; Phakopsoraceae
Description: tRNA-Ser
Rfam family: tRNA
About the family: Transfer RNA (tRNA) molecules are approximately 80 nucleotides in length. Their secondary structure includes four short double-helical elements and three loops (D, anti-codon, and T loops).
Source: RNAcentral
GCGCACUUAUCUCAAAUGGUAAGAGCAUCACUCUUGAAAGUUGAGGUUGUGGGUUUGAUUCCCACAGUGCACA